RNAcentral lists this ribosomal RNA (272 nucleotides) under Tetradesmus bernardii. RNAcentral's name for it is "partial 28S ribosomal RNA". It matches the Rfam family "Eukaryotic large subunit ribosomal RNA", at positions 1 to 295 of the family's 3401-position model. Lineage: Eukaryota; Viridiplantae; Chlorophyta; Chlorophyceae; Sphaeropleales; Scenedesmaceae. The record is from RNAcentral.
UGAGCUCAGGCAAGGCUACCCGCUGAACUUAAGCAUAUCAAUAAGCGGAGGAAAAGAAACUAACAAGGAUGCGCUUAGUAACGGCGAGCGAACCGCGCAAAGCCCAACUUGAAAAUCUCCCUUGGAGAAUUGUAGUCUAUAGAAGUACCCUCUGUAACGGGCGCAGCUCAGUCUCCUGGAAAGGGGCGUCAGAGAGGGUGAGACCCCGUAAGCUGUGCUUCGUGCCUCACGAGUGCUUCGAAGAGUCGGUUGCUGGGAUGCAGCCGAAUUGU